This 701-nucleotide ribosomal RNA is filed under the name Staphylococcus aureus. Its description in RNAcentral is "bacterial SSU rRNA". It matches the Rfam family "Bacterial small subunit ribosomal RNA", at positions 83 to 771 of the family's 1533-position model. Lineage: Bacteria; Bacillati; Bacillota; Bacilli; Caryophanales; Staphylococcaceae. The record is from RNAcentral.
UCUCUGAUGUUAGCGGCGGACGGGUGAGUAACACGUGGAUAACCUACCUAUAAGACUGGGAUAACUUCGGGAAACCGGAGCUAAUACCGGAUAAUAUUUUGAACCGCAUGGUUCAAAAGUGAAAGACGGUCUUGCUGUCACUUAUAGAUGGAUCCGCGCUGCAUUAGCUAGUUGGUAAGGUAACGGCUUACCAAGGCAACGAUGCAUAGCCGACCUGAGAGGGUGAUCGGCCACACUGGAACUGAGACACGGUCCAGACUCCUACGGGAGGCAGCAGUAGGGAAUCUUCCGCAAUGGGCGAAAGCCUGACGGAGCAACGCCGCGUGAGUGAUGAAGGUCUUCGGAUCGUAAAACUCUGUUAUUAGGGAAGAACAUAUGUGUAAGUAACUGUGCACAUCUUGACGGUACCUAAUCAGAAAGCCACGGCUAACUACGUGCCAGCAGCCGCGGUAAUACGUAGGUGGCAAGCGUUAUCCGGAAUUAUUGGGCGUAAAGCGCGCGUAGGCGGUUUUUUAAGUCUGAUGUGAAAGCCCACGGCUCAACCGUGGAGGGUCAUUGGAAACUGGAAAACUUGAGUGCAGAAGAGGAAAGUGGAAUUCCAUGUGUAGCGGUGAAAUGCGCAGAGAUAUGGAGGAACACCAGUGGCGAAGGCGACUUUCUGGUCUGUAACUGACGCUGAUGUGCGAAAGCGUGGGGAUCAA